UACGUAGGGUGCGAGCGUUAAUCGGAAUUACUGGGCGUAAAGCGUGCGCAGGCGGUUUUGCAAGCCGGAUGUGAAAUCCCCGGGCUCAACCUGGGAAUGGCAUUUGGGACUGCAAGGCUCGAGUGCGGCAGAGGAGACUGGAAUUCCUGGUGUAGCAGUGAAAUGCGUAGAUAUCAGGAGGAAUACCGAUGGCGAAGGCAGCCCCCUGGGCCAAUACUGACGCUCAUGCACGAAAGCGUGGGGAGCAAACAGG
This 253-nucleotide ribosomal RNA is filed under the name uncultured bacterium. RNAcentral's name for it is "partial 16S ribosomal RNA". It matches the Rfam family "Bacterial small subunit ribosomal RNA", at positions 524 to 776 of the family's 1533-position model. The record is from RNAcentral.